GUCUUUUUGAUAANUAANUUUAAAGUCUAGUCUGCCCAAUGNANNAUUANUUGAAUGGCCGCGGNNUAUUUUGACUGUGCAAAGGUAGCAUAAUAAUUAGUUUUUUAAUUGAAAGCUGGUAUGAAUGGCUGAACGAGAAAAUUACUGUCUCAAGUUNAAAUUUAUUAGAAUUUUAUUUUUAAGUUAAAAAGCUUAAAUUAAAUUAAAAGACGAGAAGACCCUAUAGAGUUUNAAUAAUUAUUUAGNAUUNNUUNUGNUUUUAGAAAUANANNNAUUUUAUUNUAAAUAAUUAUUUUAUUGGGGUGAUAUAUAAAUUUAGUAAACUUUANUNAAAUNUUAGUACAUAUUUUUAUGAUUAAGUGAUCCAUUAUUNUAUGAUUAUAAGAUUUAAUUACCUUAGGGAUAACAGCGUAAUCUUUUUAAAGAGUUCUAAUCGAAAAAAAGGAUUGCGACCUCGAUGUUGGAUUAAAAUUAAUAUUUGGUGUAGAAGCUNAANAUUAUUAGGUCUGUUCGACCUUUAAAAUUUUACAUGAUCUGAGUUUAAAUCGGUGUGAGCCAGGUUGGUUUCUAUCUUUAAUAUNAAUAAAUUAUUUUAGUACGAAAGGACCAAAUAAUUAUAAUAUUUAUNNUAUGANUNUUGAAUAUUAAUNNAUUAUUUUGGCAGAAUAGUGCAUUAAAUUUAGAAUUUNAAUUAUGUAAAANAUUUAUUUACAGAUAAUANUUGUUUUUNAAAAGAUUUAAUUUUAUCAUUAGUUAGUGGAUUAUUAUUAGUAAUUUGUGUUUUAGUAGGAGUAGCUUUUUUAACUUUGAUAGAACGUAAAGUUUU
This 826-nucleotide ribosomal RNA is filed under the name Mesoceration semicarinulum. RNAcentral describes it as "partial large subunit ribosomal RNA". The stretch from base 402 to 562 matches the Rfam family "Bacterial large subunit ribosomal RNA", at positions 2473 to 2632 of the family's 2925-position model. The record is from RNAcentral. Lineage: Eukaryota; Metazoa; Arthropoda; Insecta; Coleoptera; Hydraenidae.